AACGAACGCUGGCGGCAGGCCUAACACAUGCAAGUCGAACGCCGUAGCAAUACGGAGUGGCAGACGGGUGAGUAACGCGUGGGAACAUACCCUCCGGUUCGGAAUAACUCAGGGAAACUUGAGCUAAUACCGGAUACGUCCAAGGUUUUAAUCGGCCUUGGAGAAAGAUUUAUCGCUGGAGGAUUGGCCCGCGUCUGAUUAGCUUGUUGGUGAGGUAAUGGCUCACCAAGGCGACGAUCAGUAGCUGGUCUGAGAGGAUGAUCAGCCACAUUGGGACUGAGACACGGCCCAACUCCUACGGGAGGCAGCAGUGGGGAAUAUUGGACAAUGGGCGAAGGCCUGAUCCAGCCAUGCCGCGUGAGUGAUGAAGGCCUUUAGGGUUGUAAAGCUCUUUUACCCGGGAAGAUAAUGACGGUACCGGGAGAAUAAGCCCC
RNAcentral lists this ribosomal RNA (434 nucleotides) under uncultured bacterium. RNAcentral describes it as "bacterial SSU rRNA". It matches the Rfam family "Bacterial small subunit ribosomal RNA", at positions 29 to 494 of the family's 1533-position model. The record is from RNAcentral.